UAGUCGUAACAAGGGUUCCAGUAGGUGAACCUGAUGAAGGAGCGUUGUGUGAGCCGAAAGGUGACCACAACGUGUGCAUUUCUCUCCAAACCCAUGUGAACUCUGUAUUCGUGACUUGUACACUUUUAUCAACAACGUUGACUGUGCUUCUCUGACUGUGUCAAACUGUCUUCUCGCUAACGUGACGUUGACAUCAAAACCAACAUAUCACAACUUUUAACAACGGAUAUCUUGGCUCGC
RNAcentral lists this unclassified non-coding RNA (240 nucleotides) under fungal sp. RNAcentral describes it as "partial internal transcribed spacer region". Lineage: Eukaryota; Fungi. The record is from RNAcentral.